Molecule: non-coding RNA, 375 nt
Organism: Cinara cedri
Lineage: Eukaryota; Metazoa; Arthropoda; Insecta; Hemiptera; Aphididae
Source: the annotation of a GenBank genome assembly
AGUAAAUUCAUUUUAUUUAGGUCUAUUAGAUCUUGAAUACAAUUAGAAGUACAAAAAACAUUUUUGACAUAUUUCCUAUUAAGUAUGUAAUUGUGACACCGUAUUAAGUGAUUGUAUUACAAUAUUAUAUUAUGUUGUCUUAUAUAUAAUAUUUUAUUGAAUCUAUAAUUAAUGAUGUUUUAUUAACUACAAAUAAAUGAUACCUAAUAAUACAGGACAAAUCAAAAACAGCUUCUUGUUUUGAAGUCUGUUAACAUCUGAACACGUUUUGCUUGACACAUUUUGGAGAUUUUGCCCCAGGCGCAAUAGUUGUUUGCUAUUUUUAGAUGUCGAGGCAUUAAUAUUAAACAAAGUAAUAAAACAUUUUUACAAUAA